Molecule: ribosomal RNA, 201 nt
Filed under: uncultured Lactobacillus sp.
Lineage: Bacteria; Bacillati; Bacillota; Bacilli; Lactobacillales; Lactobacillaceae
Description: partial 16S ribosomal RNA
Rfam family: Bacterial small subunit ribosomal RNA
Source: RNAcentral
UGCUAAUACCGGAUAACAACAGAUGAUGCCUAUCAACUGUUUAAAAGAUGGUUCUGCUAUCACUCUUGGAUGGACCUGCGGUGCAUUAGCUAGUUGGUAGGGUAACGGCCUACCAAGGCGAUGAUGCAUAGCCGAGUUGAGAGACUGAUCGGCCACAUUGGGACUGAGACACGGCCCAAACUCCUACGGGAGGCAGCAGGA